UACCUACGGGGGGCAGCAGUGAGGAAUAUUGGUCAAUGGGCUUACGCCUGAACCAGCCAAGUCGCGUGAGGGAAGACUGCCCUAUGGGUUGUAAACCUCUUUUGUCAGGGAGCAAUUGGCGCUACGUGUAGCGUUAUCGAGAGUACCUGAAGAAAAAGCAUCGGCUAACUCCGUGCCAGCAGCCGCGGUAAUACGGAGGAUGCGAGCGUUAUCCGGAUUUAUUGGGUUUAAAGGGUGCGUAGGCGGGAUGCCAAGUCAGCGGUAAAAAUGCGGUGCUCAACGCCGUCGAGCCGUUGAAACUGGCG
Molecule: ribosomal RNA, 305 nt
Filed under: uncultured bacterium
Lineage: Bacteria
Description: bacterial SSU rRNA
Rfam family: Bacterial small subunit ribosomal RNA
Source: RNAcentral